GACUCUUAGUAGACCGUCUAAUGCAGUACGCGAUUGAAUCGUGUGAGUAGUUUAUUCGUUUCUCGCGUUUCUAGAGAAUAUCGAAGCUGCUCUUUGAUCGAAAGUUCAUCGAUCAUGGAUCCUUGGCGAACGUUAGACGAGACGAACAGGGGAACGAUUCAUUUGAAUCGUUCCACGCGUAUGUUGAGCCUGUUUGAGCGCCCUUAGCGCGUUCCCAUUCUGGAAGGGGAACACGAGACUCAUUUGGGUGGGCGAAUGUGACCCUCAAUAACUAAAGUUUUGACCUGGCCCUAGGUCAACUGCCAGGGUAUCCAAGUGGUGACUGAGACACCACUUAGACUUUUAGAUUUACAGCGGGUGACUGCCUAUUGUCACUUACUUUUUAACAUCACGAGCACCAUCCGAAGUCAGGACACUCAGGAUGGUACAAAUGACCAGGUUGAGAAAAACCAGCAGUCCCUGCUAUAAAUCCAAGCCCUAGUAUAAAAUUCGACACAUUUCAAUUUUAUCAAAUUUAUUAUUGCAACUUUUGUAAAUUUUCUGCAAAAAUUAUCAUUCUACUUUGAAUGAUCUAUUCAUCUGAAAAAUAUUUUAAUCUAGAUCUAAGAUUGUAAAGAUUGUUAUUAAUGAAAUAUUCUGUUCAUUGAAACACAUUUUUAUGGAUUUUAAUCCAUACAUUUGCAAGAAUUUCUUUGGUUACUGUAUAGAAAUAAAAGAUAGAAACAAUAGAAUGAUGAAAAGUUCAGUGGAACAAUGGACAAGCUACCCAGGUAAAUGUGUGUUUCGAAAGAAAAUCCAUAGAAAUUUUUAUAACCGUGUCGUGAACUAUUUUCAAAGAAUGAUGAAUGCUUGAUGAAUGCUAUGGUUCAGUGGUGCAUUAUUUUUGAAAAAUAUCUCGAUUAUAAAGAAUUUAUUUAUCACUUUA
This is a long non-coding RNA of Osmia bicornis bicornis, 925 nucleotides long. RefSeq lists it as uncharacterized. The transcript is spliced from 2 exons. Lineage: Eukaryota; Metazoa; Arthropoda; Insecta; Hymenoptera; Megachilidae. The record is from RefSeq and is a predicted model, not a curated record.